GCUGAUGUAGCAUAGUGGUAGUGCAGCUGACUCGUAAUCAGCAGGUCGUGAGUUCAAGUCUCAUCAUCAGCUCCA
Molecule: transfer RNA, 75 nt
Filed under: Clostridia bacterium
Lineage: Bacteria; Bacillati; Bacillota; Clostridia
Description: tRNA-Thr
Rfam family: tRNA
About the family: Transfer RNA (tRNA) molecules are approximately 80 nucleotides in length.
Source: RNAcentral